RNAcentral lists this transfer RNA (58 nucleotides) under Neotoma lepida (desert woodrat). It matches the Rfam family "tRNA", at positions 8 to 63 of the family's 71-position model. Rfam says of the family: Transfer RNA (tRNA) molecules are approximately 80 nucleotides in length. Their secondary structure includes four short double-helical elements and three loops (D, anti-codon, and T loops). RNAcentral also lists the same sequence under 1 other name. Lineage: Eukaryota; Metazoa; Chordata; Mammalia; Rodentia; Cricetidae. The record is from Rfam by way of RNAcentral.
UGGCUCAGUGGUUAAGAGCACUGGUUGCUCUUCCAGAGGACCUGGGUUCAAUCCCCAG